RNAcentral lists this ribosomal RNA (167 nucleotides) under Achillea holosericea. RNAcentral describes it as "5.8S ribosomal RNA". It matches the Rfam family "5.8S ribosomal RNA". Rfam says of the family: 5.8S ribosomal RNA (5.8S rRNA) is a component of the large subunit of the eukaryotic ribosome. It is transcribed by RNA polymerase I as part of the 45S precursor that also contains 18S and 28S rRNA. Functionally, it is thought that 5.8S rRNA may be involved in ribosome translocation. RNAcentral also lists the same sequence under 2 other names. The record is from RNAcentral. Lineage: Eukaryota; Viridiplantae; Streptophyta; Magnoliopsida; Asterales; Asteraceae.
UUACAAACGACUCUCGGCAACGGAUAUCUCGGCUCACGCAUCGAUGAAGAACGUAGCAAAAUGCGAUACUUGGUGUGAAUUGCAGAAUCCCGUGAACCAUCGAGUUUUUGAACGCAAGUUGCGCCCGAAGCCUUUUGGCCGAGGGCACGUCUGCCUGGGCGUCACGC